UGUGCAUUAGAAGAUGGUCGCUAUUUUAGAAUAGAGGAAAGUCCGGGCUACAUUAGACAAAAUUCCAUCUAACGGAUGGCUAGCGCAAGCUAAGGGAAAGUGCCACAGAAAGCAAACCGCCUUUUUAAGGUAAGGGUGAAAGGGUGGGGUAAGAGCCCACCAGAGCUAAAGCAAUUUAGCUUGUUUGGGCAAACCCAAUUUGUAGCAAGAAGCGCAUGGUAAGUCUAAAUUGAUACACGCUUCGCUUGAGGAAUAUUGCAAAAUAUUUCCCAGAUAAAUGGCCAUCCAUUGACAGAACCCGGCUUAUUCUAAUGCUCAACUU
This 322-nucleotide RNase P RNA is filed under the name Helicobacter pylori. Its description in RNAcentral is "RNase P RNA component class A". It matches the Rfam family "Bacterial RNase P class A". From Rfam's summary of the family: Ribonuclease P (RNase P) is a ubiquitous endoribonuclease, found in archaea, bacteria and eukarya as well as chloroplasts and mitochondria. Its best characterised activity is the generation of mature 5'-ends of tRNAs by cleaving the 5'-leader elements of precursor-tRNAs. Cellular RNase Ps are ribonucleoproteins. The record is from RNAcentral. Lineage: Bacteria; Pseudomonadati; Campylobacterota; Epsilonproteobacteria; Campylobacterales; Helicobacteraceae.